UGGGGGAAACCCUGACCGAGCGACGCCGCGUGUGGGAUGAAGGCCCUCGGGUUGUAAACCACUGUCAACGGGGAGGAAAUGCAGAGGGGUUCUCCCCUCUGUUUGACCUAUCUGUGGAGGAAGUACGGGCUAAGUUCGUGCCAGCAGCCGCGGUAAGACGAACCGUACAAACGUUACUCGGAAUUACUGGGCUUAAAGGGUGCGUAGGCUGCGCGGAAAGUUGGGUGUGAAAGCCCUCAGCUCAACUGAGGAAUUGCACUCAAAACUACCGUGCUCGAGGGAGACAGAGGUAAGCGGAACUCAAGGUGGAGCGGUGAAAUGCGUUGAUAUCUUGAGGAACACCGGUGGCGAAGGCGGCUUACUGGGUCUCUUCUGACGCUGAGGCACGAAAGCCAAGGUAGCAAACGGGAUUAGAUACCCCGGUAGUCUUGGCUGUAAACGAUGAGCACUUGAUUGAAGGGUCCUCCAUAGCCUUUCAGUCGUAGCGAAAGUGUUAAGUGCUCCGCCUGGGGA
This 513-nucleotide ribosomal RNA is filed under the name uncultured bacterium. RNAcentral's name for it is "bacterial SSU rRNA". It matches the Rfam family "Bacterial small subunit ribosomal RNA", at positions 372 to 879 of the family's 1533-position model. The record is from RNAcentral.